GGCCAGGUGGCGGAGUGGUUAACGCGGUAGACUCGAAUUUUCAACGUUCCAAUCUACUUCCUUCGGGAGCGUCUGUUCGAAUCAGGCCCUGGUCG
RNAcentral lists this transfer RNA (95 nucleotides) under Xylaria arbuscula. RNAcentral's name for it is "tRNA-Ser". It matches the Rfam family "tRNA". Rfam says of the family: Transfer RNA (tRNA) molecules are approximately 80 nucleotides in length. Their secondary structure includes four short double-helical elements and three loops (D, anti-codon, and T loops). Lineage: Eukaryota; Fungi; Ascomycota; Sordariomycetes; Xylariales; Xylariaceae. The record is from RNAcentral.